This 414-nucleotide ribosomal RNA is filed under the name uncultured microorganism. RNAcentral describes it as "bacterial SSU rRNA". It matches the Rfam family "Archaeal small subunit ribosomal RNA", at positions 459 to 872 of the family's 1478-position model. The record is from RNAcentral.
CAGCCGCCGCGGUAAUACCGGCGGCCCGAGUGGCGGUCACUAUUAUUGGGCUUAAAGCGUCCGUAGCCGGGUUGGGAAGUCCUCCGGGAAAUCUGGCCGCUUAACGGUCAGAAUGCCGGAGGAUACUCCCAGCCUAGGGAGCGGGAGAGGCCGAGGGUAUUCCCGGAGUAGGGGGGAAAUCCUAUAAUCCCGGGAGGACCACCUGUGGCGGAGGCGCUCGGCUGGAACGCGUCCGACGGUGAGGGACGAAGGCCAGGGGAGCAAACCGGAUUAGAUACCCGGGUAGUCCUGGCUGUAAACGAUGCGGACUUUGUGUCGGACAAGCUAUGAGCUUGUCCGGUGCCGGAGGGAAACCGUUAAGUCCGCCGCCUGGGGAGUACGGCCGCAAGGCUGAAACUUAAAGGAAUUGGCGGG